RNAcentral lists this long non-coding RNA (300 nucleotides) under Oryza sativa aus subgroup. Its description in RNAcentral is "lncRNA OsNaBo_11g0020800". The record is from RNAcentral. Lineage: Eukaryota; Viridiplantae; Streptophyta; Magnoliopsida; Poales; Poaceae.
GAAGCUAUUCUUAAUAGCAUUGGCAUAACACCCUCUAUUUGGGUAAGCAAGGUGAGAGACAUUUUGACAAUUAUAGAUAGGAUCAUUAAGCAACAUAGCUCUAGCUUCUUUCGCCAUCUUGUCAGCCAUCCUGUUGAUCUCCCUGGGUAUCCAAGUGACCUGCAUCCAACUUUCAGGAAUGGUGGAAAGAAUUUGACUCCAAAAGGGCCUGAGACUCCAAUGACCUGGAUCUGCACCAAAGUCUUUUUUCCUGAACACUUCUGCAAUUAUCAGGUACUUACCAUUGCCUCAGCACCAUGA